This 73-nucleotide transfer RNA is filed under the name Cavia porcellus (domestic guinea pig). It matches the Rfam family "tRNA". From Rfam's summary of the family: Transfer RNA (tRNA) molecules are approximately 80 nucleotides in length. Their secondary structure includes four short double-helical elements and three loops (D, anti-codon, and T loops). Further hydrogen bonds mediate the characteristic L-shaped molecular structure. tRNAs have two regions of fundamental functional importance: the anti-codon, which is responsible for specific mRNA codon recognition, and the 3' end, to which the tRNAs corresponding amino acid is attached (by aminoacyl-tRNA synthetases). tRNAs cope with the degeneracy of the genetic code in two manners: having more than one tRNA (with a specific anti-codon) for a particular amino acid; and 'wobble' base-pairing, i.e. permitting non-standard base-pairing at the 3rd anti-codon position. The record is from Rfam by way of RNAcentral. Lineage: Eukaryota; Metazoa; Chordata; Mammalia; Rodentia; Caviidae.
GGGGGUUUAGCUCAGUGUCAUAAGUGCCUGCCUUGAAAGCAGGCAGUCCUGAGUUUGAUCCUCAGUACUGAUA